CUUCCGUAGGUGAACCUGCGGAAGGAUCAUUAUUGAAU
RNAcentral lists this ribosomal RNA (38 nucleotides) under Rhizoctonia solani. RNAcentral's name for it is "partial 18S ribosomal RNA". Lineage: Eukaryota; Fungi; Basidiomycota; Agaricomycetes; Cantharellales; Ceratobasidiaceae. The record is from RNAcentral.